This 3118-nucleotide long non-coding RNA is filed under the name Sus scrofa (pig). Its description in RNAcentral is "lncRNA (ENSSSCG00000062047.1)". Lineage: Eukaryota; Metazoa; Chordata; Mammalia; Artiodactyla; Suidae. The record is from RNAcentral.
UUACUGCUAUGGCAUGAGUUGUAUCCCUGGCACCAGAACUUCUGCAUGAUUUGGGCAUGUCCAAAAAUAUGUUGGCCUAUAAUUUUCCUUUUGGGUGGUACUUUUGUCUGCUUUUGGUAUGAGGGUGCUAGUGGCUUCUUAGAAUAUAAUUAUUAUAUGAACUAGCAAUCCAUUCCUGGGCCCAUACCAGAAUAAAACAACAGUUCAUAAAGAAUUGUACCCUGUGUUCAUCACAGCACAAUUCACAAUAGCCAAGACUUGAAAACAACCUAAAUGUCCAUUCACUGAAGAAUGGAUUAAGAAGAGUGCUAUAUAUAUAUAAUGGAAUACUACUCAGCCAUGAAAAGAAUGAAAUAAUGCCAUUUUCAGCGACAUGGAUACAACUAGAGAUUCUCAUACUAAGUGAAGUAAAUCAGAAAGAGAAAAGCAAAAACCAUAUGGUAUCACCUGUAGAUAGAAUAUAAAAUAUGGCACAAAUGAACCUAUCUGCAAAAAAGGAAUAGACUCACAGACAUAGAGAACAGACUUAUGGUUACCAGGGGUGAGGGAGGAAGAGAGAAAGAUGAACUAGAAGUUUAGAGUUAGUAAAUGAAAACUAUUGCAUUUAGAAUGGAUAAACAAGAAGUUCCUACUGUAUAGCAUAUGGAACUAUAUCCAAUCCCCUGGAAUAAACCAUAAUGGAAAAGAGUAUUUUUAAAAAGAAUGUGUAUGUGUGUAUAACUAAAUCUUUGCCAUAUAGAAGAAAUGAGCACAACAUUGUGCAUCCACUAGCUUUAAUUUAAAAAAAAUAUGAAAAUUCAAACAUAGCAUUGAAAAUUAACUUGAGGUCAAUCUUGGUUAUAGUGAAAAUGAGAUGCUACCCUUAUAACAAAAAAGCAGUAUAUUCAGGAAUAUAAAAAAUAUUUUCCUGUCUAGUACAGUAUCGUUCAUAUUUCUUCUGUAUAUAAAGGUUGUGCUCAGCCCCAAAUACAAGUUGACAUAUUUUCUAGGGUAUGAAUAAAUCAGUGUUUCCCAACCUGUGUAGUUUACCCACCUUCCACAGUUUGUGGAUUAUAGAGUUUACUUUUAAUCACGUUUUAUUUUUCAUUAUUGUGCAGAUACAUUUUUGUUAUUUCCCUUAAUUUUCUUUUCCUGAAAUAUGGUCAACAAUGUAACUAUCUGUGAAAGAAGUGUAAAUACUGACCUCUGUUAAAGGGAAUGUUUAUUAUAAGUGUGGCACAGAACUUUAAAUGGUAGAUCUCUUAGAUAUAUUCUAUUAUUCAAUAUGAAUUCUGCUGUUUUUAAAUUGGAUCCUCAAAGGUUUAGGGAUGUUUAGACAUUUGUAUCACUGGAGAUAAUUAUUAAAAAUCUGUUCUGGUAUAAUCUGAGCUGAGGAAAAUAAAAGGGCUGCAAUAAAUAUUCUAACAAGCUUAAUUUAUGAGAAAAAAAUAGUUCAAUGGCUUUUAAACUAAUGUAGAGGUUUGUUCCUGUCUCUAGAGAGUAGUAAAAUACAGGAUUAGGUAUAGAAGUUGACUAUUUAUAAUAGAUAAAAACAUAGUCCAAGAUUAAUGGCCAGGUGUUUUGCUUACUGCUUAUAUAUCUAUCUGGUUUGAAAACUGUCCCAAGAUUGUGUUCUGUGAAAUUAAAUCUUACAUGAAUAUCUUUGAAUACGGAUACAAAUUUUCUACCUGGUGCUUUACCAAACACUUGCUGUAUUGGGGUUCAGGCCACUUUGAGCUAUUAAAAGCCAAAACAAUUUAGUUUUCUAUUUUAAUGAGCUCUUUUGCACCAUAGUAAUUUUGAAAUGUCAGUUUAAUCAAUAAUAUGUACAGUACCAGAGCCUUUGGGCAUUUAAAAUGUCAAUUGUUUAAUUUUGAAAAAUGGAUAUUGGCCUUACAAAAUCAUCUGGUCAAGCAUUUGCAUUACAUUAUGCUUAGUGCAGAGACUUACUUUGUACAUAGAAUAUCUUCAUCAAUUAUAUCAAUACGAUGUAAGGCUUGGGCAUCUUUACAUGUGAUAUCCAAUUACCAGAUCUUAGAGCCUGAUUAAUUUUCCCAAUUUUCUUUUCCACACAGUGCAACACAAUGGCAGAAAGAGAGAAAAUUAAGCUGCUAUAAAACUGCUCAAUUUAUACUGUUAGAACUUUUGGUUAUUGAUGCUCUCUCUUGUUCCACAAAACCUACCCAACAGAUAAAUCACAUACUUGUAUAUAUGGAUAAGACAUUAUCGUGCAGCCAUACAACACCCUAGAAUGCAUGCAUGACUUUUAGAACUGACUCUACAGGUAAUGGUACAAGUGAGUGGUUGGACACACACACACACACACACACACACACGCAUACAUAACACAUGAAAAUAAAUAGCUAGAUAAUUUAAGGUAAAAAUACAAAAUUCCCUUUAAGGAAUCCUAGGGAGUACCACAAAGACAAGAGGGUCAUUCUCCAAAAUGACUAAAAUUUAGAAGUAAUGAAAUAUCUAUGUGAAGAUCAAUUAUGAGAGACAUGAUAUAAUAUGAUUCCAAAAAUAAAUAAAUCUAAUAGAUUUCACAUAAAAGCCUUAAAUGGGAAGUCAAAAUAAUUGAUUUUUCUCAUGGAUAAUGUAAUUAUUAUCAAAGCAGAAAUUUAUUUAAUGACAUCUAAAUGUUCUCCUGGGAAGGACAUCAAUUUUUUGCUAUUGUAAUGGUAAUUAAUAAAGCUGUCAAUUGAGCACUUGCUAUUUACCAACCACUGUGCUUUGACUUUGCAUAAAUGAACUCCUUAUUUUUUAGGAUAAUUCCUCAUUUGAAGAUGAACACUUCAUAACUCACUGAGGUUAAGUUCCUUGCCAAAAUUACAUAGACUAUAAGUGAAAUUCAAACUCAGGUCUGUCUCAUGUUAAAAUUUAUUCUCUUUACCAGUGUAACCACUGUACCUAUUACCUCUCCUCCACCAGGUGCCAUAGACUCUGAAAUUUCACAUCAGGGAUUCAUAUGUUUUGAUUGGUAAUAGCUGCUUUACUAGUUUUCAAAAAAUGCACCUUAAAGGAGCCCCACACUGCAUUAUUUGCAUAUUAUAGUGAUUACUUCAUAACAGUAUAUGUGGGGAACUCAAGGGAACCAGAAAGAAAAAUACAGCAUUUGAAGGAAAGAGCUAGAUUAAAA